UAUCCUCAAACAGUACACAAAGACUGCAAGAUCACAACCAACAUUUGAUACAAGGGACUACAACACGACUGCAUCGGAUGUCAGCUCAAGACUAUCGAAGCAAGACAUCUUGCUGCAGCUAAAUUUGAUGGUUAACAAGAAAUCAAUGAGAUGUGACCAGCAAUAUGACAGAGCCUUCUAUGCUCUCAAGAGGCUAGUGGAAGAGCUUGAUGUAAUACAUUCAACAAAUCGAGCGGAUGCUGAAAUUGAAGAUGACCUUCAUUAUUAUGCAGCUAAAAUGCUCCAGGCCGCUGCUCAAGCCAACCAAUCCAAGUAGGGUGUUGACCAAUUAAUGCAGCAGCGGUAGCAAGAGACGAUGAGAAUGCAUCUGUACUCUGAAACAAAGGGUAAGAAUAAAAUUUCCGCAGCAAAGAAAAGUGAGAGAGCUCAAAUAAAGGCACCACCUGCAGGAAGAGUCGUCAUGCUCGAUGGGAACGGAGUGCCACUUGGACACAG
This 495-nucleotide long non-coding RNA is filed under the name Triticum aestivum (bread wheat). RNAcentral describes it as "long non-coding RNA (TAES_LNC016279)". The record is from RNAcentral. Lineage: Eukaryota; Viridiplantae; Streptophyta; Magnoliopsida; Poales; Poaceae.